RNAcentral lists this long non-coding RNA (3377 nucleotides) under Homo sapiens (human). RNAcentral's name for it is "long non-coding RNA NONHSAT155763.1". The record is from RNAcentral. Lineage: Eukaryota; Metazoa; Chordata; Mammalia; Primates; Hominidae.
AGCUGGAAUAAAGAGAGAUAUCGGGGGAAAGCCGCGAGAAGGCCAGCGUCCCUCGCUGGGAGCAGAGCUAGCCGAGUAGGGCGCCCGGCUGUCAAACUGGCCGGCGCAGUGCACGCUGGGCCGCCCCGGAGCGAUCGCAGAGCCCGUCGGGAGUCGUAGUCCCGGACGGGCCCGCGGCAUCGUCCGCGACGCAGCUCGGGAUCCGGGUCGGGGUGUCGGCCGGGUUGCUGCCGGGCACCGUCGAGCGUUAGCCACCCAGCAUUGAGCUGCCAGCGGCUGUUCUCCCUAAGCACCCUCGCUCACGUCGCCUCGCCUCGCCUGACCGGCCGCAGCCUUGGAUACCAGCCUUAAAUCGAGCCGACUACGGCCCAGCCCCGCCCGCGGCGAGGUGCGCGGGGUUCGGUGCGAGCCCCUCGCCCCUGGCCGGGCCAGCCUCUUGAUGCACCGGGGACGGGCGCGCCCAUCCGACUCUUCGAGGGGCGGCAGGGCCCCAUCUGUGUCUUUCGCUCUCGAGCCCCCAGCUAGAGUUGGCUUCAGCGGAAUACCUACUGUGCGGGAUUAUUCAACAAGCCGAUUGAUCACAUUCUUCAGCUCUAGCAGUGCAAAGGCUUCACUGAAAAAGAACAUUACAACUUUUUUGAAAGAAAUUUGGGGGUGACUAUGUGUGUGAAUAUUUAAGAAUUCUAAAACCGCAUGGGAUUACUUAUAACUGUAUAGGAGCCUAACACGAUAAUGGAAUCAGAAUAUACUUUGCUGAAGGAUCCACUGAAGACCUACAUUUCCCGGAAGGUUAACAGCCCCCUUCUCAGUUUUCCUGGUGCUCCUAUCAGUGACAAAUCAGUGUAUUAGAACAUGCAUGCUGGCUGAUCAUUCUGAUCAAGUCAACAAGCUUCACAACUUACUCAAUGAGGUCGUCCGUGAGAACUUCACUGUUUUACGAGGACAGGAGCUACUUCUUUGCUGAACUGCAUCACGGUUUCAACUGCUGAGGUUUUCUUCAAGCUUUUGCAUUGUUUGGAAUGUGAAAGGCACGGCCGAGACACACUUUGAGGUUCCCACUGCAUUGUUACACCUCCCCCCUCACUUCAGGGCCAGGUAACACCAAGAAGGACGCCAUGAGAGCGAAGGCCGUUGGGUCACCGCCCUUUGCUCUCGCGCUGCGCGUCUCCCUGCCAUCAACCGCCGCAACUGGCGCUGGGAGCGGUUGAGGGCGGCCGGCCUCGCGCUGGAACCUCGCCCGCCUCAAGGCUCCUGCGGCGGCGCACAGGGCAGGCCAGGAGCCCGCCCUAGGAGGGCCCCGCUGGAGAUGUGGAAAUGGAGGGACGCGGCACCUGGGUGCUUCCUGGGGCCAGACAACGCCCCCUCAUUGGAACCUCCAUGACCGUGCCUCUGAGAAACCAGCGCGUCCGCAACGAUCACUCCUAAUUUUCGGAUUCCUAUCAUCUGUCUCCACGUGAUAACACUGAAGAGCCUUCACAUUGAUGCAGGCCCAGGGCCUCAAGUGCAGAGUCUGAGAGCUCUGCAGGACACAGCAUGGAGCCGCCAUUCCUCUACUGGGUGGAGGAGCAUGUGUCCUCUGAACAGGGGAUCCAAGCCCUGAGAUGUUCUUUCUCAGCUGUCAGUGCGGCCCAGGACUUUCUGUGGGGAUGCUCAGACAGCAGGGGCCGGAGGACUUUUAGCCACCACCUCCCAUGGCCAGUCUUCACAAAUUACCUUUGGCUAAUUUGACUGUCUCUCCUCCUGGGGUCUAGGACUUCAAACAUGUACAGAAGCGAUUGCAGAAUUAAGACAAGACACUUCCACAAUAUAUUUUUUGUAUCACUGGCUCAGAAAAAGACUCAUUCAAAUCCUGUAUCAAAGCCACAUGUGAGAAUCUUGAGAAAGCAUCAGCUGACUGACUUGACAAGGGAGGAAGCAACCAAAAAUUCUGCGCUUCUUCAGUAUCUGAGUAUGAUAUUUUGCUUCAACAUCCCUCUUAGAUGAAGUUAUUGAUUGAAAAUCAUUUAAGUUUGCCCCAUGGUAAAAGAUCAAGUCCUCAGAAAGAUCUCCAAAGUGUUUACAGUUUGUUUUGUUUUGGUAAGUUUACCAUGAUUUUGCUUGAAUUGCUCUCCGUUGAUCUUCUCAGCUAAGAUGGAGGUAGAGUUGCACAGUGGAAGAGGGCUGCAUGUAAGAAGGCAGUUCUGUCUCAGAGGACAAAAGGCCUGGGAGCACCCAGACAGACAGUCACUGCAUGGAGGUCACUCCCCUCCCAGUGGCCACUGUGGAGACAUUUCACAGAAAUGCUUGCUGGACCAUUCAGGUUCAGAGUUGGGACAAAACCGAGAACUCAUGGGGAUAUUGGACAGGAGUUAGGAAAUGACCUUCUCACACAACUGGGGCAGUGGGGGAGAACCCUGGGCUUGAGACUUGCAAUCCACCACUUGCCCCUGCCCCUGCCCCUGCAGUGUGGCCGCUGUUACAUUUUCCUGCAACUCUGCCUUCUUGAGUCCAAGUGUCUUCGAAAGGGCAAAUGCUUCGUAAGUGCCGACAGGGUGUGUUUCAGUGAAUGUUUGCAGUGUGCACCGGUCUGGCUGAAGGCCUCUUCCCUUCCCCAACACCCUCCCAUCGUGCAAAAUUACCCUGCCCAGCAGGGAGUGAUUUGUGUGUCUCAGAAGAUUUUGUUGCUGUGCUCUGAGUUCUCACUCCUCAUCUCCUUUGACCAGUUUCUUCUAAUACUCCCCUUGUUCACAACACAGAACAUGAGUGCUCUUUCCUAUCAUUUUGAUACUAAUAAACGGACAGUGAUUCUCAGUGUGGAAAUGAGAAUGAAGCUUUUUUUAAAGACAGGCUACAAUAAUUCCCAUGCAGAGAACCACAUGCCAUGACACUGGAUUCCAAACAGCAAGAACGUAUGGUGAAGACGAGGCCAACAGUGAGCUGAGAGAGGCCAGCCAGGGUGUGUUUCAGUGAAGAUGAGAAACAAUCAGAUAACACCUGUUUCCUCCAGGAAAGAAAAUGUGGCCAGGGAAAAGAGAUGGGAGGAAGGCUGGUCAUUGCCUAUUCCACUGUGCACAGUUUGAAUUUGGAGCCAUGAAAAGUAUUGCUUGGUUAAAUUAAAAUCAUUCAAAAGAUAAAACAUAAACAUUUAACACCAGCACAAUAUGCUGGGAAACAAAAUGAAAGGAUUUCUGGUCUCGGUGCUGUAGGUCACAUAGCCACUCUUUCCUGGAUUGAGGCUUUCCAGCAAAGGGGCUGGGACGUAAGGCUGGCCUGCUGGUGUGGACAGAGAUUCCAGCAACAUGCAUGACCUGGGGGUACAAGGAUUGCUUCCUAAACAAUGAUAAGCACACAGCCACCUAAUAGUCUGGAUCGGCUGAGACCAUCCUGAUUUCAAACAC